UUGCCACUCUCUCUAUUCCAACUCCAAAAUCUAACCAUUUGUUUCCCGAAUUGAAGCUACCUAGACCUUCAGGACUCCAAGAGCUACGUUUCUACCGAUUGAUUUUCCGUUUUCUCCAACCGGUGAUUCUAACACUUUGGGAGUGCAAGCAAGUGGUUUAGGGUUCCUACUUGAGCUUGGUUGUCUACACUAGAGGUAAGGGGAGCUAGUUCUACUCUUGAUUUUACUGUGUGGAGUGAAUGCAUGAUAAAAUUUGUAGUGGUAUGUUGUGGAAGCAUGAACUUGGUUCUAGUUAAACUUGAAAUGCAUGUAUGGAAGUGUGUGUUAUGUGAAUUUGGUG
Molecule: small RNA, 340 nt
Filed under: Vigna angularis var. angularis
Lineage: Eukaryota; Viridiplantae; Streptophyta; Magnoliopsida; Fabales; Fabaceae
Description: Non-protein coding transcript
Source: RNAcentral